AUUGAACGCUGGCGGCAGGCCUAACACAUGCAAGUCGAGCGGUAGCACAGAGAGCUUGCUCUCGGGUGACGAGCGGCGGACGGGUGAGUAAUGUCUGGGAAACUGCCUGAUGGAGGGGGAUAACUACUGGAAACGGUAGCUAAUACCGCAUAAUGUCGCAAGACCAAAGUGGGGGACCUUCGGGCCUCAUGCCAUCAGAUGUGCCCAGAUGGGAUUAGCUAGUAGGUGGGGUAACGGCUCACCUAGGCGACGAUCCCUAGCUGGUCUGAGAGGAUGACCAGCCACACUGGAACUGAGACACGGUCCAGACUCCUACGGGAGGCAGCAGUGGGGAAUAUUGCACAAUGGGCGCAAGCCUAAUGCAGCCAUGCCGCGUGUGUGAAGAAGGCCUUCGGGUUGUAAAGCACUUUCAGCGGGGAGGAAGGCGUUAAGGUUAAUAACCUUGGCGAUUGACGUUACCCGCAGAAGAAGCACCGGCUAACUCCGUGCCGGCAGCCGCGGUAAUACGGAGGGUGCAAGCGUUAAUCGGAAUUACUGGGCGUAAAGCGCACGCAGGCGGUCUGUCAAGUCGGAUGUGAAAUCCCCGGGCUCAACCUGGGAACUGCAUUCGAAACUGGCAGGCUAGAGUCUUGUAGAGGGGGGGUAGAAUUCCAGGUGUAGCGGUGAAAUGCGUAGAGAUCUGGAGGAAUACCGGUGGCGAAGGCGGCCCCCUGGACAAAGACUGACGCUCAGGUGCGAAAGCGUGGGGAGCAAACAGGAUUAGAUACCCUGGUAGUCCACGCCGUAAACGAUGUCGAUUUGGAGGUUGUGCCCUUGAGGCGUGGCUUCCGGAGCUAACGCGUUAAAUCGACCGCCUGGGGAGUACGGCCGCAAGGUUAAAACUCAAAUGAAUUGACGGGGGCCCGCACAAGCGGUGGAGCAUGUGGUUUAAUUCGAUGCAACGCGAAGAACCUUACCUGGUCUUGACAUCCACAGAACUUUCCAGAGAUGGAUUGGUGCCUUCGGGAACUGUGAGACAGGUGCUGCAUGGCUGUCGUCAGCUCGUGUUGUGAAAUGUUGGGUUAAGUCCCGCAACGAGCGCAACCCUUAUCCUUUGUUGCCAGCGGUUAGGCCGGGAACUCAAAGGAGACUGCCAGUGAUAAACUGGAGGAAGGUGGGGAUGACGUCAAGUCAUCAUGGCCCUUACGACCAGGGCUACACACGUGCUACAAUGGCAUAUACAAAGAGAAGCGACCUCGCGAGAGCAAGCGGACCUCAUAAAGUAUGUCGUAGUCCGGAUUGGAGUCUGCAACUCGACUCCAUGAAGUCGGAAUCGCUAGUAAUCGUAGAUCAGAAUGCUACGGUGAAUACGUUCCCGGGCCUUGUACACACCGCCCGUCACACCAUGGGAGUGGGUUGCAAAAGAAGUAGGUAGCUUAACCUUUGGGAGGGCGCUUACCACUUUGUGAUUCAUGACUGGGGUGA
RNAcentral lists this ribosomal RNA (1464 nucleotides) under uncultured Klebsiella sp. RNAcentral's name for it is "bacterial SSU rRNA". It matches the Rfam family "Bacterial small subunit ribosomal RNA". The record is from RNAcentral. Lineage: Bacteria; Pseudomonadati; Pseudomonadota; Gammaproteobacteria; Enterobacterales; Enterobacteriaceae.